Macaca mulatta (Rhesus monkey) is the source of this 225-nucleotide non-coding RNA. The record is from RefSeq and is a predicted model, not a curated record. NCBI's taxonomy places the organism in Eukaryota, Metazoa, Chordata, Mammalia, Primates, Cercopithecidae.
AAAAACAGUUCUUACCAAACCGUGUCAGGAAACUCAACUGAAAUGGAUUUAGGGCUUUGGCCUUGCACUGCUCCGGAUUAAUUGCAUGGCUGAGCAUGGGACACAUGUGAUAAACGUUCUACAUUCACUUAAAGAAAUGUGGAUUCUCCAGGUGUUUGGUACAGCAUUCCAUGUAUGUUCAGUAUGUGAAUAUUUAUAAUCCUGUAUAAAUUCAUGUAUUCUAUU